UACGUAGGGUGCAAGCGUUAAUCGGAAUUACUGGGCGUAAAGCGUGCGCAGGCGGCUUUGCAAGACAGAUGUGAAAUCCCCGGGCUUAGCCUGGGAACUGCAUUUGUGACUGCAUGGCUGGAGUGCGGCAGAGGGGGAUGGAAUUCCGCGUGUAGCAGUGAAAUGCGUAGAUAUGCGGAGGAACACCGAUGGCGAAGGCAAUCCCCUGGGCCUGCACUGACGCUCAUGCACGAAAGCGUGGGGAGCAAACAGG
Molecule: ribosomal RNA, 253 nt
Filed under: uncultured bacterium
Lineage: Bacteria
Description: partial 16S ribosomal RNA
Rfam family: Bacterial small subunit ribosomal RNA
Source: RNAcentral